Molecule: transfer RNA, 71 nt
Filed under: Rhynchobatus djiddensis (giant guitarfish)
Lineage: Eukaryota; Metazoa; Chordata; Chondrichthyes; Rhinopristiformes; Rhynchobatidae
Description: tRNA-Tyr
Rfam family: tRNA
About the family: Transfer RNA (tRNA) molecules are approximately 80 nucleotides in length. Their secondary structure includes four short double-helical elements and three loops (D, anti-codon, and T loops).
Source: RNAcentral
GGUAAGAUGGCUGAGUUUUAAAGCGGCGGAUUGUAGCUCCGUGAAUAGAGGUUAGAAUCCCCUUCUUAUCA